Cinara cedri is the source of this 512-nucleotide non-coding RNA. The record is from the annotation of a GenBank genome assembly. NCBI's taxonomy places the organism in Eukaryota, Metazoa, Arthropoda, Insecta, Hemiptera, Aphididae.
AUUUACCCCCACUACAUUUACUACCCCACAUUUCUCCCCUUCAUUUUCAUUCUUUCUUUAUUUUAUUUUACCCUUUUCUAUUUUUUGUAUUACUACACCUAAGAUUAAACAAGAAGAAACCAGAUAAACCAUCGGUCCCGACGACUUAUUACUGCCCAGCGCAGAAAGAACAUCAAAAACAUCUUGGGUAAAGGAAAAUCAAUUAUUCGACAAGUCAUUGCAAGAUUUUUAGAUCAGAUGAAUCAACAUAUUGUCAUUUCAGUAAAUAAACGGAAUUGAAAAAUGUAGAAAGUAAGUUAGCAGGGUGAAAUUCAUUAGAACCAGAAGCAAAAAAGUUAACAGACCGCAAAAUACAAAUCACGGCGGAUAAAAAUUUUAUUGGAGAAUAUUUCAUAGAGUUUAAUAUAUGACGCUUUAUUUUUUGUUCUAGUUCCACCAAACUACUGUUAUAUCUGCUUUCGUCUUACUCUUUGCUCAUUCCAAAUAAAUUCAAUAGCGUCUGAAUAGUCGAU